RNAcentral lists this ribosomal RNA (1503 nucleotides) under Escherichia coli. Its description in RNAcentral is "partial 23S ribosomal RNA". It matches the Rfam family "Bacterial large subunit ribosomal RNA", at positions 1291 to 2779 of the family's 2925-position model. Lineage: Bacteria; Pseudomonadati; Pseudomonadota; Gammaproteobacteria; Enterobacterales; Enterobacteriaceae. The record is from RNAcentral.
CGAAUGCUGACAUAAGUAACGAUAAAGCGGGUGAAAAGCCCGCUCGCCGGAAGACCAAGGGUUCCUGUCCAACGUUAAUCGGGGCAGGGUGAGUCGACCCCUAAGGCGAGGCCGAAAGGCGUAGUCGAUGGGAAACAGGUUAAUAUUCCUGUACUUGGUGUUACUGCGAAGGGGGGACGGAGAAGGCUAUGUUGGCCGGGCGACGGUUGUCCCGGUUUAAGCGUGUAGGCUGGUUUUCCAGGCAAAUCCGGAAAAUCAAGGCUGAGGCGUGAUGACGAGGCACUACGGUGCUGAAGCAACAAAUGCCCUGCUUCCAGGAAAAGCCUCUAAGCAUCAGGUAACAUCAAAUCGUACCCCAAACCGACACAGGUGGUCAGGUAGAGAAUACCAAGGCGCUUGAGAGAACUCGGGUGAAGGAACUAGGCAAAAUGGUGCCGUAACUUCGGGAGAAGGCACGCUGAUAUGUAGGUGAAGUCCCUCGCGGAUGGAGCUGAAAUCAGUCGAAGAUACCAGCUGGCUGCAACUGUUUAUUAAAAACACAGCACUGUGCAAACACGAAAGUGGACGUAUACGGUGUGACGCCUGCCCGGUGCCGGAAGGUUAAUUGAUGGGGUCAGCGCAAGCGAAGCUCUUGAUCGAAGCCCCGGUAAACGGCGGCCGUAACUAUAACGGUCCUAAGGUAGCGAAAUUCCUUGUCGGGUAAGUUCCGACCUGCACGAAUGGCGUAAUGAUGGCCAGGCUGUCUCCACCCGAGACUCAGUGAAAUUGAACUCGCUGUGAAGAUGCAGUGUACCCGCGGCAAGACGGAAAGACCCCGUGAACCUUUACUAUAGCUUGACACUGAACAUUGAGCCUUGAUGUGUAGGAUAGGUGGGAGGCUUUGAAGUGUGGACGCCAGUCUGCAUGGAGCCGACCUUGAAAUACCACCCUUUAAUGUUUGAUGUUCUAACGUGGACCCGUGAUCCGGGUUGCGGACAGUGUCUGGUGGGUAGUUUGACUGGGGCGGUCUCCUCCUAAAGAGUAACGGAGGAGCACGAAGGUUGGCUAAUCCUGGUCGGACAUCAGGAGGUUAGUGCAAUGGCAUAAGCCAGCUUGACUGCGAGCGUGACGGCGCGAGCAGGUGCGAAAGCAGGUCAUAGUGAUCCGGUGGUUCUGAAUGGAAGGGCCAUCGCUCAACGGAUAAAAGGUACUCCGGGGAUAACAGGCUGAUACCGCCCAAGAGUUCAUAUCGACGGCGGUGUUUGGCACCUCGAUGUCGGCUCAUCACAUCCUGGGGCUGAAGUAGGUCCCAAGGGUAUGGCUGUUCGCCAUUUAAAGUGGUACGCGAGCUGGGUUUAGAACGUCGUGAGACAGUUCGGUCCCUAUCUGCCGUGGGCGCUGGAGAACUGAGGGGGGCUGCUCCUAGUACGAGAGGACCGGAGUGGACGCAUCACUGGUGUUCGGGUUGUCAUGCCAAUGGCACUGCCCGGUAGCUAAAUGCGGAAGAGAUAAGUGCUGAAAGCA